Molecule: ribosomal RNA, 253 nt
Filed under: uncultured bacterium
Lineage: Bacteria
Description: partial 16S ribosomal RNA
Rfam family: Bacterial small subunit ribosomal RNA
Source: RNAcentral
UACAGAGGUCCCGAGCGUUGUUCGGAUUCAUUGGGCGUAAAGCGUGCGCAGGCGGUUCGUUAAGUCAGAUGUGAAAGCCCCGGGCUCAACCUGGGAACUGCAUUUGAAACUGGCGGGCUUGAGUAUGGCAGAGGGGGGUGGAAUUCCGCGUGUAGCAGUGAAAUGCGUAGAGAUGCGGAGGAACACCGAUGGCGAAGGCAGCCCCCUGGGCUGACACUGACGCUCAGGCACGAAAACGUGGGGAGCAAACAGG